RNAcentral lists this long non-coding RNA (3402 nucleotides) under Oreochromis niloticus (Nile tilapia). Its description in RNAcentral is "lncRNA (ENSONIG00000037667.1)". Lineage: Eukaryota; Metazoa; Chordata; Actinopteri; Cichliformes; Cichlidae. The record is from RNAcentral.
AUGAUUUUUAUUAACAGACACUGUUUAUUUUUCACUUUGCAUGACGUCAUCAACACUGUGACACCAGGGGGCGCUCAUCACCAGCUGAAGAAGUGUGCAGUGAUAAUGGGGGGAGACGCAGUAUUGUGUGUACUACAGUUGUACUUCGGACCAGGAGUGACAUGUUUAGCUGCAUGUUCUCCUCUCAGGGUACCAGGUGGGGAUGGUGGAGGUGACAGAGGGGGAGGAGUCUGUCCUGUGGCCCUUUAAAACCACACCUGGCCUUCCUCAGGACGUCACAGUGGAGUGGACUCUCACUGAACCCAAACCCAUGAAGGUCCAUGAGAGUGGAAACAAUCAGCCAGAUAAACAGGACCAGGAUUACAGAGGUCGCACAGAGACCACUUCAGUCUGACCCUGAAAGACCUCCACCUCACUGACAGUGGAGUCUACACCUGCACCGUCAGCAGUAAGGAUGGAUAUGUCCUGCUGCAGAAAGUGGGGACUCUCAAUGUUAUAGGUCAGUAAACACAUCACAGGUCUCAGUGAAUGCUGCAUCAACAGCAGCUCCACCCUCCUCCUCCUCCUCUACAGGAGAAACUUUCUGUUUUUCCAUAUAAUCUAUGAUUAUUGUUCCCACGGCGACACACACAGCAUCAUGACCUGAACAACAUGAUCCCUGAUCUGAUGUUAUAAUCCUGUAUUUACAUGUGUGUCAGUUUUGGCUGGCGGUCAUAUGUCCCUUCCAAUAACACGACGCGAGACUGGAAUAAAAUGUAUCCAUGGACUGGAAAACUUUAUUAAAGAAGACACAUGUUAACACAGCACAACACCAACUAAAAGCAAAAUGGCUUCACUUAUACUCUAAAAACUAAACUAAACCAGUAAACUCUACAAGACAUGCUGUGUAAGUAAACAAACAACAACAGUUUGGUCUGCAUUUAUUCAAAGAUCAUAUCCCACAGACUUAGUUUAGAGGGUCCACACUGUCUGCACUGUAUAUAGUGAAGUCUGCAAGUUUUUGAACAGUGAAAUUAGUUUUGUGCCCAAAUUAUUCUGCAGAUCAUCAGAAUAAGUUAUUGGCCAUGUUUGCAGAGCCCUUUUUAAAAAUAUGCUUUCAUGACAUUAUCGUGUGUGGGGUGGUGGUCAGAGCUAUCCAGACUGACCAGGGGGACGCUGAAUGUAAGAAAAAACAUGUUUUAAUAAAGCAAAUAAGUUGUUGUUCUAAAGAAUCUGAUUGUUUGCUUGCAGGACACCAGCAGAGAUGAGUCCUCCGUCACAGAAGUAUUUAUAUAUGUUCUAUUUCUAUUGUAUAUAUUAAUCAGCAUCUGUGGGUGGACAGCAAAAAAUUUCAUUGCACAGAGAAAUGCCUUUUCUCUUGUGACACAUGACAAUAAACACUUUGAAUCUUGAAUCUUUGAAUCUUGAAGACGGUCACCUGCAGGUCAAAGGUCAUUGCAUGUCCAACCCACAUCCACUGCCACUAAGUUAAAGACUUUCUUCAGCACUUACAUUUGACCACCUCGAUCUAUGACAGUCAUUCAGGCAGUGAUGCCUGGACUGGAAACAAGCAUCCUUACUAAGCAUACUGUUUUGCAUUUCAAAAUAAAAGUUGGGCUUAUUUUGAUGCCAUUACAGGAACUGCUGUGAAUUCUUCUUUUUGAAUCAUUACUUAGUUAAGUUGUGGAAACUAAUGAGGUUGUACGUUCAUGUUGGGAGAAGAGAGCCAGAAUAAUCUUAUCUGUACGACUGUUUCAGGCUGAUCCUUGGUGUGAGGCAGACUGUUGUCACACUGGGAUCCUGUAAACUUGUCAUUUCACCUGCUGAAGGAAAUCUUUUUAAAUCUUUUUCUCCUGAAUUCCUUCUGAAAACAUUUGAACACAACAAAUUGGUGACCCGACGUGAUUUUUUGGGUUGGAAAGGAGAAAAGGAGGAUUGGAGAGGCUCCUGACGGAGCUGCUGUCAGACGCCAGAAGUGGAGGAAACUGAUUCACCCUCACAGACGGCCUUCAAAAUAAAGGUACGCAGAGCCUGUUAUAUCAAAAGCUGCAAAAUUGGACAUAAACCAAAUUAAAAUGUGAGCGGUGAGAGGUUACAGUGUUUAUAUGAUAAGAUACAUGUUUAAUACAUAAAGUUGGAAUUACAAGUUAGUAAGAAGGUUUUUAACAAAGGUUUAAUUUAAGCCUGAAGUUUAAAGGUGAAAGAAAUUUCAAGGUUUAUCAAGGCUAACAUGGAAAUAGGUCAAAGGUUAAGAUUAAGGAUUAAGAUGAAUCAGAAAAUUAUGUAAUGAAAUGAAAAUAUGAGUUAAAGGAAUAAAUAGGUCAAAGGUCAGAUUAAGUGAAAUUUUAAGCCUUUGUUAGUUAAACCAGAUAAAAUAAUCGGAAUAAACGAAUGGAGGAAAAUCGCAAAGAUGUUGUGAUCAAAGCUCUUGUAAAAUAGUUUGAACGGCAUAAAGAAAAAUACGUUUCAGUAUAUUGUAUGUUUUAGCUAAAACCACUGUAGACACUGGUAGUGACCUCAAAUCAUUGUUACUGAAGAAGGAGGAAUUCCACCUUAAACAGUAAAGUGUUCUUUAACAGUACGACAUUGAUAGAGUUUGUUUGUUUGUGUGUUUGAGAGUUCAGACUGAAAGAGAUGCACAAUUGUGUGUGUGUGUGUGUGUGUGUGUGUGUGUGUGUGUGUGCGUGUGUGUGUGUGUGUGUCUGCAGCUGUUCUUUGUGUUGUUGCUGGAUCGUUGCCUCAGGGGGAAAGUUGUGUGUGUGUUGAACAUGCAGACUAACAGAGACUGCAGCUGUCAGCAGCCACACACACUUUAUAUUCUUCAAAUCAAAUCACAGUGAAACAUGUUCACUGACAGCUCAGCUUCAGCAUCUUAUUCAUGCUGUGACUGCAGCCGUUCAACUCUGUUUCUCUUUAACCCAAAUCAUCACAACAUGGAAAUAUAAUCAUCAAAAUGAUGUGACUGGAAGGAUGCAGCAGUCUGUGCUCCACCUUUCUCCUCCACACCUGCAGGUGGAGAACAUGGAUGCAUGAAUCUCUACAGAGUUCUUUGAAUAUUAUCCGUCUUAUCAGUUUUCAGUGAACAAAAAUCCUCACAGAGCCAAAAUAAGCAGUUUGUAUCCAACAUAACUCAGCUGGACUCUGAUGCUCCGUAUAACAGCCACACAUGAGUCUGGAUUCACUCAAAGCGUUGAACAAACUUUAUUGUAAAUGAAGCUUUUGGACAUUUAUUCUCUGAUAUUUGCUCUUCAGCUCGAGUCUCCAUCAGUGGGAACAUUUCCUGAUUCAACUUUUCUUCUGUUCAAAUCAAACUCCAUGAGAAUCAAAGUGUGAAUCAGAGUCCUGAUGAUCAGAUUCUAUAGAAACAUGGAGACUGUAGAGGAUUUACACUCAAUAUGUUCAUUUGUUCCCUUCAAGAAAAAU